Molecule: ribosomal RNA, 1159 nt
Filed under: Poltys laciniosus
Lineage: Eukaryota; Metazoa; Arthropoda; Arachnida; Araneae; Araneidae
Description: SSU rRNA
Rfam family: Eukaryotic small subunit ribosomal RNA
Source: RNAcentral
AAAAGCUCGUAGUUGGAUCUCAGCUCCGGCCGGACGGUCCGCCUACCGGUGGUUACUGUCCGUCGCCGAGCGUUCAGGCGGUUAUUCUUGAUGAUCUUCACCGGUUGUCUCGGGUGACCGCCAAGUUUACUUUGAAAAAAUUAGAGUGCUCAAAGCAGGCGUGAUGCCUGAAUAAUUGUGCAUGGAAUAAUGGAAUAGGACCUCGGUUCUAUUUUGUUGGUUUUCGGAACACGAGGUAAUGAUUAAGAGGGACAGACGGGGGCAUUCGUAUUGCGACGCUAGAGGUGAAAUUCUUGGACCGUCGCAAGACGAACUACUGCGAAAGCAUUUGCCAAGAAUGUUUCCAUUAAUCAAGAACGAAAGUUAGAGGUUCGAAGGCGAUCAGAUACCGCCCUAGUUCUAACCAUAAACGAUGCCAGCCAGCGAUCCGGCUGUGUUCCUCAAAUGACACGCCGGGCAGCUUCCGGGAAACCAAAGCUUUUGGGUUCCGGGGGAAGUAUGGUUGCAAAGCUGAAACUUAAAGGAAUUGACGGAAGGGCACUACCAGGAUUGGAUCCUGCGGCUUAAUUUGACUCAACACGGGGAAACUCACCCAGCCCGGACACAGGAAGGAUUGACAGAUUAAGAGCUCUUUCUUGAUUCUGUGGGUGGUGGUGCAUGGCCGUUCUUAGUUGGUGGGGCGACUUGUCUGGUUAAUUCCGAUAACGAACGAGACUCUAGCCUACUAAAUAGACGUUCCCAUCCUCUUUUGUGGGACGUUCUUCUUAGAGGGACAAGCGGCGUUUAGCCGCACGAGACAGAGCAAUAACAGGUCUGAGAUGCCCUUAGAUGUCCGGGGCCGCACGCGCGAUACAUUGAAGGAAUCAGCGUGUGCUUUCCCUGUCCGAAAGGACUGGGUAACCCGUUGAACCUCUUUCGUGCUGGGGAUUGGCGAAUGUAAUUAACGCCAUGAACGAGGAAUUCCCAGUAAGCACGAGUCAUCAGCUCGUGUUGAUUACGUCCCUGCCCUUUGUCCACACCGCCCGUCGCUACUACCGAUUGAGUGAUUUAGUGAGGUCUUCGGACUGGCGCUCGGAUUGGCCUUCGUGGUCGAGCCGGUGUGCCGGAAAGAUGACCAAACUUGAUCACUUAGAGGAAGUAAAAGUCGUAACAAGGUUUU